CCUACGGGGGGCCGCAGUGGGGAAUAUUGGACAAUGGGGGGAACCCUGAUCCAGCCAUGCCGCGUGUGUGAAGAAGGCCCUCGGGUUGUAAAGCACUUUCAGUGAGGAAGAACGCCUGGUGGUUAAUACCCAUCAGGAAAGACAUCACUCACAGAAGAAGCACCGGCUAACUCCGUGCCAGCAGCCGCGGUAAUACGGAGGGUGCGAGCGUUAAUCGGAAUUACUGGGCGUAAAGCGCGCGUAGGUGGCUUGAUAAGCCGGUUGUGAAAGCCCCGGGCUCAACCUGGGAACGGCAUCCGGAACUGUCAAGCUAGAGUGCAGGAGAGGAAGGUAGAAUUCCCGGUGUAGCGGUGAAAUGCGUAGAGAUCGGGAGGAAUACCAGUGGCGAAGGCGGCCUUCUGGACUGACACUGACACUGAGGUGCGAAAGCGUGGGUAGCAAACAGGAUUAGAUACCCCUGUAGUC
Molecule: ribosomal RNA, 465 nt
Filed under: Vreelandella stevensii
Lineage: Bacteria; Pseudomonadati; Pseudomonadota; Gammaproteobacteria; Oceanospirillales; Halomonadaceae
Description: partial 16S ribosomal RNA
Rfam family: Bacterial small subunit ribosomal RNA
Source: RNAcentral